RNAcentral lists this ribosomal RNA (450 nucleotides) under uncultured bacterium. Its description in RNAcentral is "partial 16S ribosomal RNA". It matches the Rfam family "Bacterial small subunit ribosomal RNA", at positions 338 to 795 of the family's 1533-position model. The record is from RNAcentral.
CCUACGGGUGGCUGCAGUGGGGAAUUUUGGACAAUGGGGGCAACCCUGAUCCAGCCAUGCCGCGUGCGGGAAGAAGGCCUUCGGGUUGUAAACCGCUUUUGUCAGGGAAGAAAUCUUCCGAGCUAAUACCUUGGGAGGAUGACGGUACCUGAAGAAUAAGCACCGGCUAACUACGUGCCAGCAGCCGCGGUAAUACGUAGGGUGCAAGCGUUAAUCGGAGCGUGUGGGGGUAAUUGGUCAACAGGCGGGUGAAAUCCCCGGGCUUAGCCUGGGAACUGCACUUGUGACUGUACGGCUGGAGUACGGCAGAGGGGGAUGGAAUUCCGCGUGUAGCAGUGAAAUGCGUAGAUAUGCGGAGGAACACCGAUGGCGAAGGCAGUCCCCUGGGCCUGUACUGACGCUCAUGCACGAAAGCGUGGGGAGCAAACAGGAUUAGAUACCCGUGUAGUC